Hibiscus syriacus is the source of this 100-nucleotide small nucleolar RNA. RefSeq annotates it as small nucleolar RNA snoR1. Lineage: Eukaryota; Viridiplantae; Streptophyta; Magnoliopsida; Malvales; Malvaceae. The record is from RefSeq and is a predicted model, not a curated record. The transcript has a single exon.
GGCGAAGAUGGAUAGUGCUUUAUAAUUUCUGACACCUCUUGUAUGAGAAAAGCUUUUUCCAAAGCAUUUUCUUUGAGCAGAGAUGGCAACAGUAUGAGCC